GGGGGCGAAACGGCUUCGACGGGGAUAAAGAAGCUUAAGUUGCAUGCCGAGGUUCUGUUUGCUCGUAAAACAGGCAGAAAAACAUAAACGCAGACGAUUAUGCGUAUGCCUUAGCCGCAUAAAAUGGCUAACGUCCUGCCGUUCUUUCCUGCGAGGAUGGAUUGGGGCGCCGAUUAGCAGGAUAGCUGACCUGAGAGACCUGAAUCUCAGGGAGGCGAAAUUCUUUCAGGGUAGCCCUUCAGUCACCUGGCCCGAGAGGGGUCUUAAGGGCGAACAUCAAAGUUCGGGCUAUGCAUGUAGAGGCUUGAGUGGACUAUUCUCGGACGGGGGUUCGACUCCCCCCGCCUCCACCA
RNAcentral lists this transfer-messenger RNA (353 nucleotides) under Desulfobacterales bacterium. It matches the Rfam family "transfer-messenger RNA". Rfam says of the family: Bacterial tmRNA, also known as 10Sa RNA or SsrA, is named for its dual tRNA and mRNA-like properties. Its role is to liberate the mRNA from a stalled ribosome. RNAcentral also lists the same sequence under 2 other names. Lineage: Bacteria; Pseudomonadati; Thermodesulfobacteriota; Desulfobacteria; Desulfobacterales. The record is from RNAcentral.